This 449-nucleotide ribosomal RNA is filed under the name uncultured bacterium. RNAcentral's name for it is "bacterial SSU rRNA". It matches the Rfam family "Bacterial small subunit ribosomal RNA", at positions 328 to 794 of the family's 1533-position model. The record is from RNAcentral.
UGUCCAGACUCCUACGGGAGGCAGCAGUGGGGAAUAUUGCACAAUGGGGGAAACCCUGAUGCAGCGACGCCGCGUGGGUGACGAAGUAUUUCGGUAUGUAAAGCCCUAUCAGCAGGGAAGAAGAUGACAGUACCUGACUAAGAGGCCCCGGCUAACUACGUGCCAGCAGCCGCGGUAAUACGUAGGGGGCAAGCGUUAUCCGGAUUCACUGGGUGUAAAGGGAGCGUAGACGGCGACGCAAGUCUGGAGUGAAAGCCCGGGGCCCAACCCCGGGACUGCUCUGGAAACUGCGUCGCUGGAGUACGGGAGGGGCAGGCGGAAUUCCUGGUGUAGCGGUGAAAUGCGUAGAUAUCAGGAGGAACACCGGCGGCGAAGGCGGCCUGCUGGACCGUGACUGACGUUGAGGCUCGAGAGCGUGGGGAGCAAACAGGAUUAGAUACCCCUGUAGG